This 371-nucleotide ribosomal RNA is filed under the name uncultured Bacteroidales bacterium. Its description in RNAcentral is "bacterial SSU rRNA". It matches the Rfam family "Bacterial small subunit ribosomal RNA", at positions 22 to 392 of the family's 1533-position model. Lineage: Bacteria; Pseudomonadati; Bacteroidota; Bacteroidia; Bacteroidales. The record is from RNAcentral.
GCUCAGGAUGAACGCUAGCUACAGGCUUAACACAUGCAAGUCGAGGGGUAGCAGGGUAGCAAUACCGCUGACGACCGGCGCACGGGUGAGUAACACGUAUCCAACCUUCCCAUAACUCGGGGAUAGCCUUUCGAAAGAAAGAUUAAUACCCGAUAGUACUUUUUCAAGGCAUCUUGAGAAAGUUAAAGAUUUAUUGGUUAUGGAUGGGGAUGCGUUCCAUUAGAUAGUUGGUGAGGUAACGGCUCACCAAGUCUUCGAUGGAUAGGGGUUCUGAGAGGAAGGUCCCCCACAUUGGUACUGAGACACGGACCAAACUCCUACGGGAGGCAGCAGUGAGGAAUAUUGGUCAAUGGGCGAGAGCCUGAACCAGC